CAGGGCGAGGUACGGUAGUAUACUAGUGUACAUAUGUACAUAAGUGGGCCCCCCAGCUUAGUACAAAACGUGUUGAGAUAUUAUGAGCAUGGAGGUAGGAAAUGUUAUGAGCAUGGAGGAAUAAGAACACGAGAGAGAAUCUUGUUGUUUUUCGCAUUCGCGCUAUAUACUGACUGCAAGGACUUGAGUCGUGAUACAUGGGGUAUACCGAUACAUGGAGUUGAGUCUGAGAACAAAUCGAGCCAUUUCGUUUGGUAGCCACAUAAACGUCAGGUCCAUUGUUUUUACUUGACACUCGAGAACCAGUAAUGUCAAGUGUUAUGAGUGAUAUCGGCAGAAGCGUGCAUACAGUGUGGAACCAGCUGAGGUAUGAACACCUUGUGGCAGGAAUCAGUGGUGGAAUUGUAUCUACAAUGAUGCUUCAUCCAAUGGACCUGAUCAAGAUCAGAUUACAGGUUAAUGAUGGAAACACAGCACGUCCCACUUACCGAGGUGUUACUGAUACUUGCAAACAUGUCAUCAGACAGAAUGGAUGGAGAGGAUUAUAUCAAGGAGUUGUACCCAAUGUUUGGGGUGCUGGGGCUUCCUGGGGUUUUUACUUCUUCUUCUACAAUGCCAUCAAAGCCUACAUGGGAGAUGGGAGACAAGAACCUCUAGGACCAAGCUCUCAUAUGCUAGCAGCUGCACAGUCAGGUAUCCUGACAUUGUUGAUAACCAAUCCAUUAUGGGUUACCAAGACACGUCUUUGCCUUCAGUAUGAAGGUAUAAGUAAAGAUGUACGCUCAGCACAAAGUACCAAAUACAACGGCAUGUUGGAUGCACUGUGGAAGAUAUGCAGACAUGAAGGUGUUGGCGGACUGUACAAGGCACAUUCGAUGAAGCAUGUUUCGACUCUAAAGUGGCCUGGCGCAGUCUCUGGGAGAAUGGAAUACUGGUGUAUCCACCACCGUACCCCCUGGUUUCAACCUAGACAGGUGAGAGUGGACCACUCUCAACAGGAUCCGCACUCUACAUGCCAGGUCUGCACACAAUCUAUAUAAAUGGAAGUUCCGGGACAACUCGGCAUGUAAUUGCGGCCAUCCAGAUCAGACCAUCUCACACAUUGUGAAUGACUGCAUGCUGACGAAGUUCCCAGUAUAGGCUGCUGCAACAGUCAUACGCAAGAAGAAGACUUGUUCGCCUCACGGCUUAACCAUCAGACUGCAUCCCUUGCAGGAUCAUCUACGACUGGUAGCAUGCCUAUUGUCAGGGAAACACUCAGACAGCAGGGCAUAUCAGGAAGGGCUGCCGAUGUCAUCAUCGCGUCCUGGCAAACUUCUACCCAGAGCUGCUACAGAACAGCACUGGGCACAUGGCUUCACUUCUGUGCUCGCACAAAAACGAAUCCAAUUCGAGCAGAUGUCACAUCUGUAAUUGCCUGCCUGAAUGAACAAUUUCAUAAUGGCUCACAAUACAGCUAGCAGCCUGAACACUCUGAGAAGUGCGUUAUCAGCUGUGGUGCUUCCCAAGAAUGGAAUCACCGUGGGAUCUUACCCACUCGUCAAACGGUUUUUGACUGGCGCAUUCAACUUGCGACCACCAAAGCCAAGAUGUUCAUCUACUUGGGAUGUGAUUGUGGUAUUAAAUUACCUUACAAGUUUAGGGCCAAAUAAUAGCCUAACCCUUAAGGACCUAACAGUGAAACUGGUCAUGCUUUUAUCCCUGAUUUCAGGGCAGCAUUGUCAAACACUGGCAUUAAUGAAUUUAGAUAAUGCUUAUACUACUGCCAAGGGUGUAACCUUUGUAAUUUCUGAGUUGACUAAAAUUAGUAAAGCAGGGAAAGCUCCUGUUAAUGUUGUAUUGGAGGCUUAUCCUCAUGACAACUUGCUUUGUGUAAUGCGUGUUCUGAAAACUUACCUGCAAAAGACACGCCCACAUAGGAAAGAUAAGGGAUAUUUAUUGCUCAGUUAUGUUCGACCUCACAAAAUUGUAGGGACCAAGACAAUUUCUCGGUGGGUCAAGUCCACGCUGUUGUUGUCAGGCAUUGACAGAGGGACAUUUGAGGCCCAUAUAGUACUCGUGCUGCAGCCUUCAUUGCUGCGUUAAGUCAUGGAACACCGCUGAACAUUAUUAUGAAAUCAGCUGGAUGGACACAGAACGCCACCUUUACGAAAUUUUACAAAAAAAACAAUAGUUUGCCAAAACAAGUUUGCUGAAUCGGUUCUCAUGACUAAAAAAUUGUAGAAUGGUGGAACACACCAGAUUCUGUAUUACUUUAUUGUAAGCAAACCGUCCAUAGAGACAAGAAACAGAAUUGUUUUAAGUAAAUACCACGCAAAGGAGUGGUUGAGUAUCAAUUUAUUGCGACAAUUAGUUUCGUAACGUCCAUAGAGAUGAGAAGCAAAAAUGUAUUUAAGUAAAUACCACGCAACUGAGUGGCUGAUCAUUAAGUUAUUACGAUAAGUAGUUUCGCAAGAAUGUAUGAGAAGAAACAUACAGCUUAAAGAGAUUAAAUGAUCUUUGAAGUUCACGAGUCCGAA
This 2519-nucleotide unclassified non-coding RNA is filed under the name Patiria miniata (bat star). Its description in RNAcentral is "mitochondrial folate transporter/carrier-like, transcript variant X1". The record is from RNAcentral. Lineage: Eukaryota; Metazoa; Echinodermata; Asteroidea; Valvatida; Asterinidae.